RNAcentral lists this ribosomal RNA (179 nucleotides) under uncultured bacterium. RNAcentral's name for it is "partial 16S ribosomal RNA". It matches the Rfam family "Bacterial small subunit ribosomal RNA", at positions 332 to 526 of the family's 1533-position model. The record is from RNAcentral.
AUUACUCCUACGGGAGGCAGCAGUGGGGAAUAUUGCACAAUGGGCGGAAGCCUGAUGCAGCAACGCCGCGUGCGCGAUGAAGGCCUUCGGGUUGUAAAGCUCUUUCAGUGGGGACGAUAAUGACGGUACCCACAGAAGAAGCCCCGGCUAACUUCGUGCCAGCAGCCGCGGUAAUAAUC